GAGCCCUAAUGUUCUCUAACCCUUUCUUAUUUAUAGGCUUCCCUUUAAGACUAACUAACAACCCACGUGACUAACAACCCAAGUGAUAUGCAAUACUAUCAUGAUCUUUUUCACACAACAGUAGAUGGCGUCUUUUACACAGUGACUGGAUGGUCCAUGUAUCCUCUGUUUGUAUGUCUUUUCUUUGAUUCCAGAUAUUCUUGCAGCCUCAAGUUCUUCUAGCUUUAUUCAUCUUUUCACUAAUGGAUUUGCUUCCCAUCCAAGAAAGGAAACAGAAUGGGAAACUGGCCCAACAGGGACACAGGGUGACAGAGAGAUUGAAUAACUCAACAAUUAAGGUGAUGAUGGAGGCCAAAGAAUUUGGUAAAUUAAACGAUGAAUUUCCAACUGAAGGGAGAGAAAGGAUGCCUCAUGGUAGAAGCUACUAGCCACUGAGUCUUCUAUGAGGAUUUUAGUUUAAUUGAUAAUUACUCCAUAGAACUUGACAAGCUUUAAUUAUGAUAUGUUAGUUAUUUAUAGCCUUUUCUUUUUUUA
This is a long non-coding RNA of Lotus japonicus, 534 nucleotides long. RefSeq lists it as uncharacterized. The record is from RefSeq and is a predicted model, not a curated record. The transcript has 2 exons. NCBI's taxonomy places the organism in Eukaryota, Viridiplantae, Streptophyta, Magnoliopsida, Fabales, Fabaceae.